CUUUGGGAUAACCCUCGGAAACGGGGGCUAAUACUGGAUAUGACCUUUGCCUGCAUGGGUGGGGGUGGAAAGUUUUUUCGGCUAGGGGUGGGCUCGCGGUCUAUCAGCUUGUUGGUGGGGUGAUGGCCUACCAAGGCGACGACGGGUAGCCGGCCUGAGAGGGCGACCGGCCACACUGGGACUGAGACACGGCCCAGACUCCUACGGGAGGCAGCAGUGGGGAAUAUUGCACAAUGGGCGGAAGCCUGAUGCAGCGACGCCGCGUGAGGGAUGACGGCCUUCGGGUUGUAAACCUCUUUCGGCAGGGACGAAGCGUGAGUGACGGUACCUGCAGAAGAAGCGCCGGCCAACUACGUGCCAGCAGCCGCGGUAAGACGUAGGGCGCGAGCGUUGUCCGGAUUUAUUGGGCGUAAAGAGCUCGUAGGCGGCUUGUUGCGUCGACCGUGAAAACCCGGGGCUCAACUUCGGGCUUGCGGUCGAUACGGGCGGGCUAGAGUUCGGUAGGGGAGACUGGAAUUCCUGGUGUAGCGGUGAAAUGCGCAGAUAUCAGGAGGAACACCGGUGGCGAAGGCGGGUCUCUGGGCCGAUACUGACGCUGAGGAGCGAAAGCGUGGGGAGCGAACAGGAUUAGAUACCCUGGUAGUCCACGCUGUAAACGUUGGGCGC
Molecule: ribosomal RNA, 666 nt
Filed under: uncultured Micromonosporaceae bacterium
Lineage: Bacteria; Bacillati; Actinomycetota; Actinomycetes; Micromonosporales; Micromonosporaceae
Description: bacterial SSU rRNA
Rfam family: Bacterial small subunit ribosomal RNA
Source: RNAcentral